CUUAUCAAGAGUGGCGGAGGGAUCGGCCCGAUGAAGCCACGGCAACCUGCGAAGCAAGGUGCCAAAUCCGGCGUAUGCUGAGUGCGGAAGUGA
Molecule: non-coding RNA, 93 nt
Filed under: human gut metagenome
Also listed under: 1 other name
Description: SAM riboswitch (S box leader)
Rfam family: SAM riboswitch aptamer (S box leader)
About the family: The SAM riboswitch is found upstream of a number of genes which code for proteins involved in methionine or cysteine biosynthesis in Gram-positive bacteria. The SAM riboswitch acts at the level of transcription termination control.
Source: RNAcentral